This 805-nucleotide ribosomal RNA is filed under the name uncultured bacterium. RNAcentral's name for it is "bacterial SSU rRNA". It matches the Rfam family "Bacterial small subunit ribosomal RNA", at positions 59 to 884 of the family's 1533-position model. The record is from RNAcentral.
CAGUCGAACGGGGAUAGCAAUAUCCUAGUGGCGAACGGGUGAGUAACGCGCGAGUAACCUGCCUCAUACAACGGGAUACCUGAGGGAAACUUCAGUUAAUACGGUAUAAGACCACACUGCCGCAUGGCAGAGGGGUAAAAGGAGCAAUCCGGUAUGAGAUGGACUCGCGUCGCAUUAGCUAGUUGGUGAGGUAACGGCCCACCAAGGCGACGAUGCGUAGCCGACCUGAGAGGGUGAUCGGCCACAUUGGGACUGAGAUACGGCCCAGACUCCUACGGGAGGCAGCAGUGGGGAAUAUUGGGCAAUGGAGGAAACUCUGACCCAGCAAUGCCGCGUGAAUGAAGAAGGUCUUCGGAUUGUAAAGUUCUUUAGUCAGGGAAGAAAAAAAUGACGGUACCUGAAGAAUAAGCUCCGGCUAACUACGUGCCAGCAGCCGCGGUAAUACGUAGGGAGCAAGCGUUGUUCGGAAUGACUGGGCGUAAAGGGUGCGUAGGCGGUUAUACAAGUUAGAAGUGAAAUACCCAGGGCUUAACUCGGGUGCUGCUUCUAAAACUGUAAGACUUGAGUACAGUAGAGGUUAGUGGAAUUCCUAGUGUAGCGGUGGAAUGCGUAGAUAUUAGGAGGAACACCAGAGGCGAAGGCGGCUAACUGGACUGAAACUGACGCUGAGGCACGAAAGUGUGGGGAGCAAACAGGAUUAGAUACCCUGGUAGUCCACACUGUAAACGAUGGAUACUAGAUGUAGGAGGUAUCGACUCCUUCUGCGUCGCAGUUAACACGAUAAGUAUCCCGCCUGGGGAGUACG